RNAcentral lists this unclassified non-coding RNA (220 nucleotides) under Hevea brasiliensis (rubber tree). Lineage: Eukaryota; Viridiplantae; Streptophyta; Magnoliopsida; Malpighiales; Euphorbiaceae. The record is from RNAcentral.
GAACAGAGAGAUUGUCAAGCUUCACGGAAUUCUGAUUCUUUUGUUUCAUAGAACUCACAGAUAACAAAAUAUCAGGUAAGAAGAAGAAGAGAGGAACACCAAAAGGUGUGAUAGAUGACAGUUUCACAAGAAUAAUAACAUAUCCAGUUGGCUCCCUCCCUAUCAUGCUAUCCCAUUGAAGACAAGCUUAUCAAUAGUAUAUAAUCAUGGAAAAUGUAUU